AUCUUAUUAUAGUCGCCGUCAGCUGAAAUUCGUGGCGGUUAUCGGUAAAAAUAAUCUAAACUAUCAAUCGCGUUCACUCGAGAUAUAGUUUUUCACAUUCCAUUCAUAAAUCGCAAAAAGAAAAACCACUACUGACCUACCUUUUAAGUGAUCACACUGUAAUAAUCCUGACCUUCACAUUUUCCAGAAUAUUUUCCAUUGUAAUUCCGCCAUCUUCGUUUCUAUGAGGAUCAUUUGUUUACAUAUGACAUUCGUCACUGUACGCAGUUUCCUGAAAUGUUCCUUUCAUUGAUGUGAUAAGGUUUCCCGCGCU
Molecule: long non-coding RNA, 313 nt
Filed under: Mytilus galloprovincialis (Mediterranean mussel)
Lineage: Eukaryota; Metazoa; Mollusca; Bivalvia; Mytilida; Mytilidae
Source: RNAcentral